GCAUUGUUGGUGCAGUGGUAGAAUUCUUGCCUUCCCGCAGGAGACUCAGGUUCGAUUCCUGGUCAAUGCU
Molecule: transfer RNA, 70 nt
Filed under: Loxodonta africana (African savanna elephant)
Lineage: Eukaryota; Metazoa; Chordata; Mammalia; Proboscidea; Elephantidae
Rfam family: tRNA
About the family: Transfer RNA (tRNA) molecules are approximately 80 nucleotides in length. Their secondary structure includes four short double-helical elements and three loops (D, anti-codon, and T loops). Further hydrogen bonds mediate the characteristic L-shaped molecular structure. tRNAs have two regions of fundamental functional importance: the anti-codon, which is responsible for specific mRNA codon recognition, and the 3' end, to which the tRNAs corresponding amino acid is attached (by aminoacyl-tRNA synthetases). tRNAs cope with the degeneracy of the genetic code in two manners: having more than one tRNA (with a specific anti-codon) for a particular amino acid; and 'wobble' base-pairing, i.e. permitting non-standard base-pairing at the 3rd anti-codon position.
Source: Rfam by way of RNAcentral